UUUUAUAUAGUAUAAACAUAUUACUUUUUAUUUCCAAUAAAAAAAUUUAAUUCCAAUUAAUAUAAAAA
RNAcentral lists this transfer RNA (68 nucleotides) under Saphonecrus sp. ZJUH 20220015. RNAcentral's name for it is "tRNA-Gly". The record is from RNAcentral. Lineage: Eukaryota; Metazoa; Arthropoda; Insecta; Hymenoptera; Cynipidae.